RNAcentral lists this long non-coding RNA (1261 nucleotides) under Homo sapiens (human). RNAcentral describes it as "long independently transcribed non-coding RNA 1709, transcript variant 7 (LINC01709)". The record is from RNAcentral. Lineage: Eukaryota; Metazoa; Chordata; Mammalia; Primates; Hominidae.
AUCCAUGAGAAGACACAGUGUUCCAUCCAGAGGAUGUAGCAUCAAGGCGUCAUCUUAAAAGCAGAGAAAAGACUCUUACUUGACACCAGAUGCCAGUGCAUUGAUCUUGGACUUCCCAGCCUCUAGAACUAUUUAGUUCAGCCUGGUGUGGAUGCAUUUCAGAAUCUGUGAAAAAUGGAAUCACAAUGCUGUGACAGCAGCAUUUCUGCCUGUGGUAUCUGUGAAGCAGGUAAACAGCCCUGGGACAAAGAACAGACUACGGGUAUUGCCUUCUUAAUCAACAAUAAAGUAUUAGUUGGCUUCCAGGCAGACACCACUGACUUUCAAGAGAAAGGCACGGGAGUAAGGAAGUAAAGAAUUCAGGUGCUGCUUGAAAAUACAACAAACUGUCUUCAGAAUACUUUUAUGUGUUGUUGAAAGAAAGCACUGCAGCUAAUAUAGCUACAAAGGAGAAACAGUUAUUCUUAAAUGUCAUCUAUUUGCUGGACCUGAACAGGAAUUCACUAUGGAGCUCAUACAACUACCACCUUCAGCUAUUAAUCAAGGAGUCAUUCAACUGAGAAAGGGGAGAUUGAGAUGUUGAAUCAUUUCUCAUUCUGUGAAGUCUACCAGAAUAACCCAUAAAGCAAAUAUCAACCUAUUUCAAUUAGAAAAAUGAAAAAUACUGAUACAGCAGACGAAUUCUGGAACUAACACUUCCACAAAUCAUUGAUAAUCCAUUUUCCAACUUCUUCAAAUUCCAGACCAUCAACAAGCUAUUCAAAACAAUAAAUGUUAAUAGUUUUGGUGGAGUUAAGCAGCAGAAGUUAAAAGCAUUGUGGAAGACAGUAUGGUGAUUCCUCAAGGAUCUAGAAGCGGAAAUACCAUUUGACCCAGCAAUCCCAUUAUUGGGACAUCAAGGGCUCCGGACAUUGUGAAAGUUUCCCUUUAAGUUACGACGGGAAUCCAGAACAACGCCGUAUGGACCCCUCUGCAGGUAGCAAGGAAAAGCGCCAGUAACUUUUAAAGGCUUGUUUUGCAUAUUAUUCAGGCCUAAAUCACGGUUCUCAUAAAUUGAUUAUCAUGUCCCUUUCAUCUGUCCAUUUAUGCUUCUAAAUGGUUCUUAAUGGUUCACUAUAUUUGAAGGCCAUAACCAUUUGCUGAUGAGUUACUAGUUUAAUUUGUCACUAUUUCUCCAAUACAUAUAUGUAAGUGCUUAUCGUCUUUUAAUCCUAGAUAUUCUUCUGGAAGUAAUAAUAAAAGUUGAAAGCUGGAAGGAAAA